CUUAAAGGUUAGUCUGAUUUAGAUCUACUAGAUCUAAAUUUCUAAAAACAGGCAAAAAUUAGACCUAGAUCUAUCAAUUUUAUAUUAUUAUUAAUAUACGAAAUAUGGAUUUUGUUACACUCUUACUUAAAGACCAACUGAAGAGGUUUUUUUCGAAAUUGAGAUAGCGAUUGAUUCAGACAGUAGAUAGCAUCAAAGUUAGUUCCUAAAAUUUUGAGAUUUUAGAAAAGCGUAUUUAUAUUAGAAAAAGUAAUUUGAAAGUGGAAAAAAUAACGAGAUUUGAAAAUCAGCUUUAAUGGCCGAAACCGGAAGUGACGUCUUGUAAUGGACUGAGAAAAUGUAAAUAAAAAUAGACAUGGCUGGAUACGUUAUUGAUAGCCAUUCAGAUGAUAUACUUAUCUAAAUCUAGCUGUCAAACAAUUUAAAAUGAUACUUAUCAUGGAAUGCACCAAAAUGCCCUGAAGAUAACUCUUAUUAUACUAUAUAUAGAUUAAUAGAAUAGAUACUUUAGAUAGACAACAUAUGACAUGUGGCAUACAGACAAGUUUACUAGAUGGAUCUUUCAUCAUUUUGGAAAUACAAGAAGAGUUAAUAUUCCCUGUUUCUAUUGUGAAACAAAUCACAGAAACAUUCUACAAUUUUAUUUUAUAUAAUAAAUACCAAUAAAUGUAAAUACAAAAUCA
This is a long non-coding RNA of Biomphalaria glabrata, 683 nucleotides long. RefSeq lists it as uncharacterized. Lineage: Eukaryota; Metazoa; Mollusca; Gastropoda; Planorbidae. The record is from RefSeq and is a predicted model, not a curated record. The transcript has 2 exons.